Long non-coding RNA from Trachemys scripta elegans, 351 nucleotides. RefSeq lists it as uncharacterized. The record is from RefSeq and is a predicted model, not a curated record. The transcript is spliced from 3 exons. NCBI's taxonomy places the organism in Eukaryota, Metazoa, Chordata, Testudines, Emydidae.
GGCUCUACCAGCUGCUGCUGCACCAGAGGGGGCUGACCAUCCAUGAGGCCGAAGACCUGUGGUGCUGGGACUGGCACCAGGACAGCAGGCUCCUGGGCUAUAGGAGCACAACCAGGGUGGGGGAGAUCUUGGGAAAGUUCUUCUUGGAGGGGCAGAGAAGAUUCUUCCUCUGGACAGCAGUGCUGGCCAUCCACAUCCCCCUGCUGCAUGUCAGCCAGGCUGGGCUGCUCCUCCCCUGCUCCCUUCUGGGGGAAGCCCAGCAGUUGAUGGGGGACAAGGUAAGCAGCUGCAUUAGACUCAGGGGAUUCAGGCCUCAUUCCCAUCCUAUUGCCAUUUGCUGGCCUGGCAGCA